UUUCAAGGGUUUCAUUCCCUUCUAAGCGAUACAAACCCUUCGAAAGAGCUCUUGUUCAUUCACUUGGCAAUGAGUGGUCUCAAGCACUUUGGCCUCCUCGUGAUGAUGAUCGUUGCAAUGUAUACGAGCCCAAGAGAAGUUGCAGCGGCUCCAUACUUUGUCCAUCAUCAACUCCGAGACUCGAACAUGUAUGCUACUCUUGGAGUCCAGUGCAAGUGCUGCGACGGCAAGGGAGGUGAAUGCAGGAGCGAGUGGGCGGAGGGGUCGUGCUCUAAACUGCGAUGCUUGCCAUGGAAAUAUCGCCACUAAGUUUCAGAAUUCUGCAUUAUUAUGCGAGUAAACAGGUGACCGAAUGCAGCUGUGAGGUCAAAUGGAAAUAUAUGGAAUAAAGUCGAUGUGCUAUGUGUUUUUUCAUGUAUCCAUGUUAACUAAAACAUACGUGUGACUCGUUAUGAAAAUCGUGUUAUGAAAAUCGUGUAUUAGUUUUAAUAUGUUUGGCACUUCAUAUUUACCCAUCACGCAUGUUUUGCUUU
Long non-coding RNA from Eucalyptus grandis, 533 nucleotides. RefSeq lists it as uncharacterized. The record is from RefSeq and is a predicted model, not a curated record. The transcript is spliced from 2 exons. NCBI's taxonomy places the organism in Eukaryota, Viridiplantae, Streptophyta, Magnoliopsida, Myrtales, Myrtaceae.